RNAcentral lists this ribosomal RNA (468 nucleotides) under uncultured bacterium. Its description in RNAcentral is "partial 16S ribosomal RNA". It matches the Rfam family "Bacterial small subunit ribosomal RNA", at positions 28 to 523 of the family's 1533-position model. The record is from RNAcentral.
GAUGAACGCUGGCGGCGUGCCUAACACAUGCAAGUCGAGCGAUUCUCUUCGGAGAAGAGCGGCGGACGGGUGAGUAACGCGUGGGUAACCUGCCCUGUACACACGGAUAACAUACCGAAAGGUAUGCUAAUACGAGAUAAUAUGCUUUUAUCGCAUGGUAGAAGUAUCAGAGCUCCGGCGGUACAGGAUGGACCCGCGUCUGAUUAGCUAGUUGGUAAGGUAACGGCUUACCAAGGCGACGAUCAGUAGCCGACCUGAGAGGGUGAUCGGCCACAUUGGAACUGAGACACGGUCCAAACUCCUACGGGAGGCAGCAGUGGGGAAUAUUGCACAAUGGGCGAAAGCCUGAUGCAGCAACGCCGCGUGAGCGAUGAAGGCCUUCGGGUCGUAAAGCUCUGUCCUCAAGGAAGAUAAUGACGGUACUUGAGGAGGAAGCCCCGGCCAACUACGUGCCAGACGCCGCGGUAA